CCAUAGCCCCGAUAGAAGCAAAAAUCCUUUUGCUUUUUUCUUUAAAAAGAAAAAGAUGGAAGCAAAUAGCGGGAAUAGCU
This 80-nucleotide small RNA is filed under the name Beta vulgaris subsp. vulgaris (sugar beet). Its description in RNAcentral is "Flavo-1 RNA". It matches the Rfam family "Flavo-1 RNA". Lineage: Eukaryota; Viridiplantae; Streptophyta; Magnoliopsida; Caryophyllales; Amaranthaceae. The record is from Rfam by way of RNAcentral.